Molecule: ribosomal RNA, 253 nt
Filed under: uncultured bacterium
Lineage: Bacteria
Description: partial 16S ribosomal RNA
Rfam family: Bacterial small subunit ribosomal RNA
Source: RNAcentral
UACGUAGGUGGCGAGCGUUGUCCGGAUUUACUGGGCGUAAAGGGAGCGUAGGCGGACUUUUAAGUGAGAUGUGAAAUACUCGGGCUCAACUUGAGUGCUGCAUUUCAAACUGGAAGUCUAGAGUGCAGGAGAGGAGAAUGGAAUUCCAUGUGUAGCGGUGAAAUGCGUAGAUAUAUGGAGGAACACCGGUGGCGAAAGCGGCUCUCUUGCCUGUAACUGACACUGAGGCUCGAAAGCGUGGGGAGCAAACAGG